GAUCCUGGCUCAGGAUGAACGCUAGCUACAGGCUUAACACAUGCAAGUCGAGGGGCAGCAUGGACCCAGCUUUGCUGGGUUUGAUGGCGACCGGCGCACGGGUGAGUAACGCGUAUCCAACCUGCCCUUUACUCCGGGAUAGUCUCCUGAAAGGGAGUUUAAUACCGGAUGUGUUUGUCUUUCCGCAUGGGAGCGACAAAUAAAGAUUAAUUGGUAAAGGAUGGGGAUGCGUCCCAUUAGCUUGUUGCGGGG
Molecule: ribosomal RNA, 252 nt
Filed under: uncultured bacterium
Lineage: Bacteria
Description: partial 16S ribosomal RNA
Rfam family: Bacterial small subunit ribosomal RNA
Source: RNAcentral